UCGAACGGGACUCAUCCGGUGGCAACACCGGAGAAGGUUCAGUGGCGAACGGGUGCGUAACACGUGAGCAACCUAUCCCGAAGACCGGGAUAACACCGGGAAACCGGUGCUAAUACUGGAUGCCCCCACCGGGUCGCAUGGCCUGGUGAGGAAAGGAUUUUUUGCUUUGGGACGGGCUCGCGGCCUAUCAGCUUGUUGGUGGGGUAAUGGCUCACCAAGGCCACGACGGGUAGCUGGUCUGAGAGGACGACCAGCCACACUGGGACUGAGACACGGCCCAGACUCCUACGGGAGGCAGCAGUAGGGAAUCUUGCGCAAUGGGCGAAAGCCUGACGCAGCAACGCCGCGUGGGGGAUGAAGGCCUUCGGGUUGUAAACCCCUUUCAGCAGGGACGAAACUGACGGUACCUGCAGAAGAAGCCCCGGCCAACUACGUGCCAGCAGCCGCGGUAAUACGUAGGGGGCAAGCGUUGUCCGGAAUUAUUGGGCGUAAAGCGCUCGUAGGCGGCUUGGCAAGUCGGGUGUUAAACCUCCAGGCUUAACCUGGAGCUCGCGCUCGAU
RNAcentral lists this ribosomal RNA (560 nucleotides) under uncultured bacterium. RNAcentral describes it as "bacterial SSU rRNA". It matches the Rfam family "Bacterial small subunit ribosomal RNA", at positions 62 to 631 of the family's 1533-position model. The record is from RNAcentral.